Molecule: non-coding RNA, 1772 nt
Organism: Nicotiana tabacum (common tobacco)
Lineage: Eukaryota; Viridiplantae; Streptophyta; Magnoliopsida; Solanales; Solanaceae
Source: RefSeq, a predicted model, not a curated record
AGCCAAACGCCUCUUUAUGUUUAAACUUUGGGAAUUCAUUUGUAACAUUUCCCUUGGACGAACUAAACAGCUCUCUCGAGUUUUUCUCUCCGUCAUCAAAGAUCUUCAAGGGGUUAAUCCAAGAGAACUAAGUGAAGAGAGUUCUAGGGUUCGGCAGCCAAGAUAAGGCUUCUCUUCCACCUUCAUGUACGAGCUCAUGUUGAAGCUUAUAACAGAUGGAUUGAUUCUUUGUAGUUGAGCUAAAGGUUGAGAAUCAAGGUAUGUAAGGCUAAACAUCUCAAUUUUGGAAUAUCUAUCGGUUUCCUAGAUAUAGAGUUCCAUAUGUUUGAUGUGAUCUCCCUAAGGAUCUAGAUUUAUUCAUAUGUGAAUUGAUAGUCAUUCGUACAUGUUACACCUUAGAAUUUCAAGAAAUUCUAUGUUAGCUCUUUAUGCUAGAACUCGAAGUACAAGAGCGUUAUAAGAUGUCCAGUUCCUACUGGACUGGUGAUGGUGUAGUUCACCCAUAAGCUUGAAUGAGUUCUUUUAUAUGCUUCUUGAAGCUAUACUACAAAUGUUGAAAUAUUAAUUAGCCUUUAGGCUUGAACAAGUUCACUUAUAUGCCUCUCGAGAUUAUGUCGCUUACGGAUCGAAAGAUAGUCAUGUCUGAGUGUUUUAAAUAAGAAAGGUCUAAACGUAUAUAAGUAUCCUCCCAGUUGUACCAGUUUCUUAUGGCCUUCAUGGCCUAGCAGUUUCAGAAGCUCUUCUACGAGUUCGCGUACGUUUAUAUACGUUCUCAAGUGCCUCUAGAGUAUAUCAGUUUCAAAAAGUCUUUUUACGACUUUAUGUACUUCUAUUGAUGUUCUAAAGCUCCAAGUUUCAAUAAGUUCUGUGAGUUUUCUGUAAUAUUUCGUAUGUCUAGAUAUCAUUUAAUUUCACGUUCCUCUACAAAGGAUUUUCAUAAUAUUUCCCUAAAUAGGGGAUUUACUUAUGUUAGUCUUACAGAAUAUUUUUACAGAUACUUCAAGCUAGUGAGCCUUUGAUAUUUUGGCUAUUGAGCCACACAUACGAUUUUAAUAGGUCAGUGAGCCACAUAUAUGUAUAGUUUUAUAGAAAGGGGGCAGUGAGCCAUAUAUACAUACUAUUUUCACAUAGGCUAGCGAGCCAUGUGCAUACUAUUUUCACAGCUUUACAGAAAGAGCCAUAGUGCCAUAGUUUAUAAAUGUUUUGGGAGCACUCUUAGAAACUGAGAAGGUUUGAGCAAGUAAGUCCCAUUCUUGAAGCUACACAUUGCAGGUGUAGGACUAUGAUCGCCACAAAGGUCGGGUGAUUAGUUAGUCUCCCUUGAUUGGGACCAGAAAUUCUCCCUUGUUUGGGAUUGAUCAAAUACUACAUCAUACGUACAUAUACGUCGAACCACGCGACAAUCGCGGUGAGACGGUCUAGAGGAUCGAAUGCCAUGAUGUAUACAUGGUGACUAUAUAUGUCAGUAACUAGGAUCUCCCACAGAAAGAUAUACAUAUGUUCAAAAGAGUUUUUGUUACAAAUAUUUACUGCAUAUUUCCGUACAGUUUCAUUUUAUCCUAUUUCAGACUGAUGCUAUUUAAGAACUGUUUCAUGCUAUGUAUCACACUGUUUUUCAAAGCUAUGACUUAUAUUUAAGUUAAGAUGCCUCUCAGAUAGAUUCCUCUGAUUAGAGUGAGAAGAUGUUCCUCAAUAAUUAUUCUUCAAUUCUUGCUCAAAUUUUGGAAGAUUAAGAAGGGAAACUCACUAGGUCUUCAUCCUAGAGGUAAGAU